Molecule: non-coding RNA, 107 nt
Organism: Capsicum annuum
Lineage: Eukaryota; Viridiplantae; Streptophyta; Magnoliopsida; Solanales; Solanaceae
Source: Rfam
AUAUUAUGGUUCGGACACUGGGUCAUCUUUUUCUUGAAUCUCUCCUAAGUUUCAUGUAAAGCCUCAUUUGGAAACUGUCUGAAAUUGUUGAUCUCAUCUCUUAAUUU